GCAGAGUAGGCGGCCAAGCGUAAAGUGUCCCGCGGACGGGGAGUUGCCGCGGGAACGAAAAGCGAAUAGCUUGCGGUUUGGCUGCCGCAUCCCGCUGU
RNAcentral lists this non-coding RNA (98 nucleotides) under Harryflintia acetispora. RNAcentral describes it as "THF riboswitch". It matches the Rfam family "THF (Tetrahydrofolate) riboswitch aptamer". From Rfam's summary of the family: THF riboswitch presents a pseudoknot that joins P1-P2 and the loop of P3 and two THF binding. The record is from RNAcentral. Lineage: Bacteria; Bacillati; Bacillota; Clostridia; Eubacteriales; Oscillospiraceae.